AUGUACUAAAAGGCCUAUUACUUGAUGUUGCUCGAGGGAAAGCUGGAGCAACCAUUGCAGGCAACCAACCCAAGCCAUUAGGUGUUAUUUGUGUUCUGCUUGAUGUAAAGUUUUCCUGCUAAUCUGCUGUUGUACAAUAGUAUUUACUUUUCAUGGUAGGCUGUAUGCUGCUGGUUUUUCUGCUUCCAAACACAUAUAAUAAUAUAUGUUCAUAUUUAUUAGGAGUAUGACAGAAAAGACACACCUAGGUUUUAGCCAUAAAAUAUGUACAGAAACCAAAAUGAUUUGAAUAAAUUUAUUCUGGCUUCUGUUUUCCACCAUUCCCACUCUUCCACCCUAUUCCUUGCCAUUUUUGUUUGUUUGGUUGGUUUUGCAGAUGUGCAAGCUAGUUGUGCUUCUUGUAUCUUUUUUUUUUUUCUUUGGGGUGGAUGCUUGAAGCAAGAGUGAUCUUCACAUUUGGGAGCAUGAAACUAUGAAAAGAAUUCAAGUCUUCCUUUGCUUAGUUGACCAUGGUGUCCUUUUGCAAUCAAAAGAAUGUAUAGCAUGGUUUUCUUGGGGAUCAAUUGAAGUUUUAUCAAUUUUAUAAGAAAAUUACCAGAUUAGUUCUCUUUCAUUUGAAAAGUAUCUCUAAUUUUGAGCAAGUUUCAGUAUACGAAUUCUGGUCCCUUAUUCAUAUAACCUUGACAAAUAAUAAGAUGGAUGACAGAAAAGACACACCUAGGUUUUAGCCAUAAAAUAUGUACAGAAACCAAAAUGAUUUGAAUAAAUUUAUUCUGGCUUCUGUUUUCCACCAUUCCCACUCUUCCACCCUAUUCCUUGCCAUUUUUGUUUGUUUGGUUGGUUUUGCAGAUGUGCAAGCUAGUUGUGCUUCUUGUAUCUUUUUUUUUUUUCUUUGGGGUGGAUGCUUGAAGCAAGAGUGAUCUUCACAUUUGGGAGCAUGAAACUAUGAAAAGAAUUCAAGUCUUCCUUUGCUUAGUUGACCAUGGUGUCCUUUUGCAAUCAAAAGAAUGUAUAGCAUGGUUUUCUUGGGGAUCAAUUGAAGUUUUAUCAAUUUUAUAAGAAAAUUACCAGAUUAGUUCUCUUUCAUUUGAAAAGUAUCUCUAAUUUUGAGCAAGUUUCAGUAUACGAAUUCUGGUCCCUUAUUCAUAUAACCUUGACAAAUAAUAAGAUGGAUGACAGAAAAGACACACCUAGGUUUUAGCCAUAAAAUAUGUACAGAAACCAAAAUGAUUUGAAUAAAUUUAUUCUGGCUUCUGUUUUCCACCAUUCCCACUCUUCCACCCUAUUCCUUGCCAUUUUUGUUUGUUUGGUUGGUUUUGCAGAUGUGCAAGCUAGUUGUGCUUCUUGUAUCUUUUUUUUUUUU
RNAcentral lists this long non-coding RNA (1363 nucleotides) under Coffea arabica (coffee). RNAcentral's name for it is "long non-coding RNA (CARA_LNC002885)". Lineage: Eukaryota; Viridiplantae; Streptophyta; Magnoliopsida; Gentianales; Rubiaceae. The record is from RNAcentral.